UGAACAAUUUUGGCAGAAUAAACUCGAACGAGCCUAUACAAAAAUCUGAAUGUUUAGGCUUAUAUAGAGGUAUAUCUUCUUAGCAUGGUCAAUGCAUUUUUAUAUUUUAAACUGGUAGUCAACGUUUAUGUCAUGUAUAAAAUGGCCACAUGUGAAGUUGAUGUAUAAAAUGACCACAAUUUGAAAGUUAAAUAUUAAAUGACAAUUUCCCUGUUUCGAUUAUAGUAAAAUGACGUUGUAUUGAAAAGUAACGGAAACUAGUUAACGGCCGUUAUCGUUAGAUAACAUCGUAUGGAUUUUGGCCUGAUCAACGAUUAAAUUUGUGUGAAAUGGCCAGUUAACAAUUUUUAUACGUAUUAAAUUACCAUAUAAGAAGUUCACGUAGACAUUCAAGUAU
This 397-nucleotide small RNA is filed under the name Arabidopsis thaliana (thale cress). RNAcentral describes it as "ATSL055930". Lineage: Eukaryota; Viridiplantae; Streptophyta; Magnoliopsida; Brassicales; Brassicaceae. The record is from RNAcentral.